This 253-nucleotide ribosomal RNA is filed under the name uncultured bacterium. Its description in RNAcentral is "partial 16S ribosomal RNA". It matches the Rfam family "Bacterial small subunit ribosomal RNA", at positions 524 to 776 of the family's 1533-position model. The record is from RNAcentral.
UACGUAGGGUGCAAGCGUUGUCCGGAAUUAUUGGGCGUAAAGAGCUCGUAGGCGGUCUGUCACGUCGGCUGUGAAAUCCCGAGGCUCAACCUCGGGUCUGCAGUCGAUACGGGCAAACUAGAGUGAUGUAGGGGAGACUGGAAUUCCUGGUGUAGCAGUGAAAUGCGCAGAUAUCAGGAGGAACACCGAUGGCGAAGGCAGGUCUCUGGGCAUUAACUGACGCUGAGGAGCGAAAGCAUGGGGAGCGAACAGG